Molecule: RNase P RNA, 384 nt
Filed under: Rhodobacterales bacterium
Lineage: Bacteria; Pseudomonadati; Pseudomonadota; Alphaproteobacteria; Rhodobacterales
Description: RNase P RNA component class A
Rfam family: Bacterial RNase P class A
About the family: Ribonuclease P (RNase P) is a ubiquitous endoribonuclease, found in archaea, bacteria and eukarya as well as chloroplasts and mitochondria. Its best characterised activity is the generation of mature 5'-ends of tRNAs by cleaving the 5'-leader elements of precursor-tRNAs. Cellular RNase Ps are ribonucleoproteins.
Source: RNAcentral
GCGGAUGGCUGGAUGGCCGCGUUUGCCGCUUUGGUGAACGAGGAAAGUCCGGACUCCACAAAACAACGGUGCCGGGUAACGCCCGGCUGGGGAAACCCAAGGGAAAGCGCCACAGAAAACAGACCGCCUGCCCCUGUGGCAGGUCAGGGUGAAACGGUGGGGUAAGAGCCCACCGCGGGGCUGGCAACAGCACCGGCACGGCAAGCCCCACCGGGAGCAAUGCCAAAUAGGAACCGCACGGGUGAAAAGGCCCAAAGCUGUUUUGGCUUGACGGUUCGGGUUGGCAGCUGGAUCUGUCCGGUAACGGGCAGGGUAGAUGAAUGGCCAUCGCGCAUCGGGGUUGCCUGAUGCGCACAGAAUCCGGCUUAUAGGCCAUCCGCGCAC